UACGUAGGGUGCGAGCGUUAAUCGGAAUUACUGGGCGUAAAGCGUGCGCAGGCGGUUUUGUAAGACAGAUGUGAAAUCCCCGGGCUUAACCUGGGAACUGCGUUUGUGACUGCAAGGCUAGAGUACGGCAGAGGGGGGUGGAAUUCCACGUGUAGCAGUGAAAUGCGUAGAUAUGUGGAGGAACACCGAUGGCGAAGGCAGCCCCCUGGGCCUGUACUGACGCUCAUGCACGAAAGCGUGGGGAGCAAAC
This 250-nucleotide ribosomal RNA is filed under the name uncultured bacterium. RNAcentral describes it as "partial 16S ribosomal RNA". It matches the Rfam family "Bacterial small subunit ribosomal RNA", at positions 524 to 773 of the family's 1533-position model. RNAcentral also lists the same sequence under 1 other name. The record is from RNAcentral.